Molecule: ribosomal RNA, 253 nt
Filed under: uncultured bacterium
Lineage: Bacteria
Description: partial 16S ribosomal RNA
Rfam family: Bacterial small subunit ribosomal RNA
Source: RNAcentral
UACAGAGGUCUCAAGCGUUGUUCGGAUUCAUUGGGCGUAAAGGGUGCGUAGGUGGCGCGGUAAGUCGGGUGUGAAAUUUCGGAGCUUAACUCCGAAACUGCAUUCGAUACUGCCGUGCUUGAGGACUGGAGAGGAGACUGGAAUUUACGGUGUAGCAGUGAAAUGCGUAGAGAUCGUAAGGAAGACCAGUGGCGAAGGCGGGUCUCUGGACAGUUCCUGACGCUGAGGCACGAAGGCCAGGGGAGCAAAUGGG